AGCUUUGCGCAGUGGCAGUAUCGUAGCCAAUGAGGUUUAUCCGAGGCGCGAUUAUUGCUAAUUGAAAACUUAAAAAGUGAACUAGCCACCAUUUCUUUCCGAUUUGGAACACAAAAUGAAUUCUUCUUAAAGACUGUGGUCA
Small nuclear RNA from Heterocephalus glaber (naked mole-rat), 142 nucleotides. Its record names the gene U4. It matches the Rfam family "U4 spliceosomal RNA". Rfam says of the family: U4 small nuclear RNA (U4 snRNA) is a component of the major U2-dependent spliceosome. The structure of U4 snRNA from yeast and human has been reported. U4 snRNA presents a k-turn RNA motif in the 5p-SL related to recognition of Snu13 protein. Lineage: Eukaryota; Metazoa; Chordata; Mammalia; Rodentia; Bathyergidae. The record is from Ensembl.